Molecule: non-coding RNA, 237 nt
Organism: Biomphalaria pfeifferi
Lineage: Eukaryota; Metazoa; Mollusca; Gastropoda; Planorbidae
Source: the annotation of a GenBank genome assembly
AUUUUAUGUUUUAUUUAUUUUUAUUUCAAGAAAGAAUACAAAUUAUUUGAUAUAUGAAUAGAAUAUAGUUCUAUUUGUACACAAUACAAUGGGUUGUGCUCCUUUAAAAAAAUGUUAAAAGGAUAAAGCUAUUUGUUAAAAACAUCUUUAAUAUCAACAUUUCCAGGUCACAGAUUGUAAUAAAAACAAACUAAAAAUUAACAUUGAACUUUGUUUUGUUUUUUUUCUGAGUUCAAC